RNAcentral lists this ribosomal RNA (506 nucleotides) under uncultured bacterium. RNAcentral's name for it is "bacterial SSU rRNA". It matches the Rfam family "Bacterial small subunit ribosomal RNA", at positions 10 to 507 of the family's 1533-position model. The record is from RNAcentral.
AGUUUGAUCCUGGCUCAGGAUGAACGCUAGCGGCAGGCUUAAUACAUGCAAGUCGUGGGGCAGCAGGUUUGUAGCAAUACAGAUGCUGGCGACCGGCAAACGGGUGCGGAACACGUACAGAACCUUCCUUUGAGCGGGGAAUAGCCCAGAGAAAUUUGGAUUAAUACCCCAUAGUAUAAUGAAGUGGCAUCACUUUAUUAUUAAAGAUUUAUCACUCGAAGAUGGCUGUGCGGCUGAUUAGGUAGUUGGCGGGGUAAAGGCCCACCAAGCCUGCGAUCAGUAACUGGUGUGAGAGCACGACCAGUCACACGGGCACUGAGACACGGGCCCGACUCCUACGGGAGGCAGCAGUAAGGAAUAUUGGUCAAUGGAGGCAACUCUGAACCAGCCAUGCCGCGUGGAGGAUGAAGGUCCUCUGGAUUGUAAACUUCUUUUAUAUGGGACGAAAAAAGGCUUUUCUAAGUCGUCUGACGGUACCAUAUGAAUAAGCACCGGCUAACUCCGUG